AAAGUAAAAGUCGUAACAAGGUCUCCGUUGGUGAACCAGCGGAGGGAUCAUUA
This 53-nucleotide ribosomal RNA is filed under the name Ophiocordyceps sinensis. RNAcentral describes it as "partial 18S ribosomal RNA". It matches the Rfam family "Eukaryotic small subunit ribosomal RNA", at positions 1779 to 1831 of the family's 1831-position model. RNAcentral also lists the same sequence under 1 other name. Lineage: Eukaryota; Fungi; Ascomycota; Sordariomycetes; Hypocreales; Ophiocordycipitaceae. The record is from RNAcentral.